GUGCCAGCCGCCGCGGUAAAACGUAGGAGGCGAGCGUUAUCCGGAUUCACUGGGCGUAAAGCGCGUGCAGGCGGUUCGGUAAGUUGGGCGUGAAAUCUCCUGGCUCAACUAGGAGAGGUCGUUCAAUACUACCGGACUUGAGAGCGGUAGAGGAAGAUGGAAUUCCCGGUGUAGUGGUGAAAUGCGUAGAUAUCGGGAGGAACACCAGUGGCGAAGGCGAUCUUCUGGACCGUUUCUGACGCUCAGACGCGACAGCUAGGGUAGCAAACGGGAUUAGAAACCCCCGUAGUCC
RNAcentral lists this ribosomal RNA (292 nucleotides) under uncultured bacterium. RNAcentral describes it as "partial 16S ribosomal RNA". It matches the Rfam family "Bacterial small subunit ribosomal RNA", at positions 505 to 796 of the family's 1533-position model. The record is from RNAcentral.